This 442-nucleotide ribosomal RNA is filed under the name uncultured bacterium. RNAcentral describes it as "partial 16S ribosomal RNA". It matches the Rfam family "Bacterial small subunit ribosomal RNA", at positions 338 to 795 of the family's 1533-position model. The record is from RNAcentral.
CCUACGGGAGGCAGCAGUGGGGAAUAUUGGGCAAUGGGCGCAAGCCUGACCCAGCAACGCCGCGUGAAGGAAGAAGGCUUUCGGGUUGUAAACUUCUUUUAAGAGGGAAGAGCAGAAGACGGUACCUCUUGAAUAAGCCUCGGCUAACUACGUGCCAGCAGCCGCGGUAAUACGUAGGAGGCGAGCGUUAUCCGGAAUGACUGGGCGUAAAGGGUGCGUAGGUGGUUUGGCAAGUUAGUAGCGUAACUCCAAGGCUCAACCUUGGAACUACUACUAAAACUGUUGGACUUGAGUGCAGGAGGGGCAACCGGAAUUCCUAGUGUAGCGGUGGAAUGCGUAGAUAUUAGGAGGAACACCAGUGGCGAAGGCGGGUUGCUAGACUGUAACUGACACUGAGGCACGAAAGCGUGGGGAGCAAACAGGAUUAGAUACCCUGGUAGUC